UGCCAGCCGCCGCGGUAAUACGGAGGGUGCAAGCGUUGUUCGGAAUUACUGGGCGUAAAGCGCGGGCAGGUGGCGCGUUAAGUCUUCUGUGAAAACCUGGGGCUCAACCCCGUGGACCGCAGAAGAUACUGGCGCGCUAGAGUAUGGUAGAGGCAAGCGGAAUUCCUGGUGUAGCGGUGGAAUGCGUAGAUAUCAGGAAGAACACCUGUGGCGAAGGCGGCUUGCUGGGCCAUUACUGACACUCAUCCGCGAAAGCGUGGGGAGCAAACAGGAUUAGAUA
This 280-nucleotide ribosomal RNA is filed under the name uncultured bacterium. RNAcentral describes it as "partial 16S ribosomal RNA". It matches the Rfam family "Bacterial small subunit ribosomal RNA", at positions 506 to 784 of the family's 1533-position model. The record is from RNAcentral.